Tupaia belangeri chinensis (Chinese tree shrew) is the source of this 120-nucleotide long non-coding RNA. RefSeq lists it as uncharacterized. Lineage: Eukaryota; Metazoa; Chordata; Mammalia; Scandentia; Tupaiidae. The record is from RefSeq and is a predicted model, not a curated record. The transcript is spliced from 3 exons.
GAUUUGGCUGGUAACAAUUUACUUACCAACUGAUGUCCGGAGCAAAGAGAAUGGAAUGAAUUGAGUUGUCUCUGCGUAAGAAUCAAAACAAGAUGGCAGAGCAUGGCUUUAUCUGAGCUC